AUUUCAAAGUUGGGGAAUGUAGUAUGUGAUAGGGAUGCAUUAGAAGCUAAUAUGAAGGAUAAAAAGUACCUUGAUGAGUUGAAGUUUGAGUGGGAUUAUGAGAACACUGACCUUGGUGGUGUUGUGCAAAAUAGAAGGGAUAUACUCAACAGCUUACAGCCACAUACAAACCUCAAGAGACUCCAUAUUUAUUCUUUUAGUGGUUUAAGCUUUCCAGAUUGGGUAGGAGAUCCUUCAUUCUUCAAUCUUGUUGACCUGGGGCUUCAGAAUUGUAACAAUUGCUCGUCAUUGCCACCACUCGGGCAGCUACCCUCUCUUAAACAUCUUUCUAUCUUAGAAAUGAAAGGAGUUAAAAUGGUGGGUAGUGAAUUUUAUGGGAAUGCUUCUUCCUCCAACACAACUAAGCCCUCCUUCCCGUCCCUACAAACUCUAAGAUUCGAGAAGAUGUACAACUGGGAGAAAUGGUUAUGUUGUGGAUGCAGACGUGGAGAAUUCCCUCGUCUUCAGAAGCUUUGUAUAAAUGAAUGUCCCAAACUCACUGGGAAAUUACCAAAACAGCUUCGUUCAUUGAAGAAACUUGUAAUCAUUCGUUCUGAGUUGCUUGUGGGCUCCCUCCGAGCUCCUCAAAUCCGUGAAUGGAGAAUGUCGAAUCAUGGUAAAUUUCGGUUGAAAAGGCCAGCUUGUGGGUUCACUAAUCUCCAAACUUCAGAAAUUGAAAUUUCAGACAUCUCUCAAUGGGAGGAAAUGCCACCACGAAUACAGAUGCUUACAAUCAGAGAAUGUGAUUCGAUAGAGUGGGUAUUGGAGGAGGGAAUACUACAAAGAAGCACUUGUCUUCUCCAACAUUUGCGCAUCACAAGUUGUCGUUUCUCCAGACCCUUGCACAGUGUUGGUUUACCCACUACAUUGAAGUCACUAGAUAUCUCGAAGUGUACCAAACUGGAGUUUGUCCUGCGUGCACUAUUGAGAUCCCACCAUCCAUUCCUUGUAUUUUUGUUCAUUAGUGGUUUUGGGAACUGUAAUUCUUUCUCACUAUCUUUCUCAUUAAGCAUCUUCCCACGGUUGAACAGACUCGACAUCUCUGAUUUUGAAGGGCUUGAAUUCCUCUCCAUCUCCGUUUCAGAGGGGGAUCCCACGUCUCUUAAUUAUUUAACUAUCGAAGACUGCCCUGAUCUGAUAUAUAUUGAAUUGCCCGCUCUCGAGUCUGCACGCUAUGGGAUCUCCAGAUGUAGGAAGCUGAAGUUGCUAGCGCGCACACACUCAUCGUUGCAGAAAUUGAGGUUAAUAGAUUGUCCAGAAUUGUUGUUUCAGAGAGAUGGUUUGCCCUCCAACCUACGUGAACUUGAAAUUUCAUCCUGCAACCAACUCACAUCUCAGGUGGACUGGGGUUUGCAAAGACUGGCCUCUCUUACAAAAUUCACAAUCAGUGCUGGAUGCCAAGACAUGGAAUCAUUUCCCAACGAGUCCCUGCUACCCUCCACACUUACCUCUCUUUGUAUACGUGGUCUUCUGAAUAUCAAGUCUCUGGACAGCAAGGGGCUACAACAACUUACCUCUCUAACAACAUUAUCCAUCUUCAACUGCCCUAAGUUCCAAUCCUUUGGAGAAGAGGGGCUUCAACAUCUUACCUCUCUUAAAAAUUUAGAGAUGACCUACCUCCCUGUGCUCGAAUCUUUGAGAGAAGUAGGUCUUCAAUACCUCACCUCUCUCAAAGAAUUGUCUAUGUCCAAUUGCUAUCAUCUCCAAUGCUUGACAAAAGAGAGACUGCCAAACUCCCUGUCUUGUAUGACAAUCGGGAGUUGUCCUUUGCUGGAGGAUGGGUGCCAAUUUGAGAAAGGCCAAGAUUGGGAAUAUAUAGCUCACAUUCCACGCAUAGUGAUAGGUGGUGUGCUCUACUAAAUUACUAAUGAAGGUGGUGAUUUCACACACAUAAUGACUUCAGUAUGCUAAAUACCGUCAGUCAGGUUAACACAAGUCUCCGUAUACACAAACUUGUAAGAUUCCAUUUCCUAUGGUCUGACAGACAUGGUGCCAAGUAGCCCUCCACGUAUAAGAGACUUGUGUUCUUGAUAUAUGCCUAUGAUCUUUCCAAUGAAACAAUAUUUGAUGAGUCUCCCCCUGGAAAGGCAGCAGCAAACACAUACAUCUGAGAAUAUUCCAUUGGAAAUGUGUAAUGCCCUGUGUCAAUUUUUGCUGUCCUGUUGUUGGAGAUUUGAGUGUGCAGAGUACUCUGCCCUUUGACUUCAAAUUUUAUGCUUUGUUUGUUUGGUUUAAGAUUAUUAUUAUUAUUUUUUUAUUUUUUUAUUUUUAUCACUCUACAAAUCAAGAACAAAGAUAUCAAGAGUGCAGACAGAUUUGAACUCAGGUAGCUCAUAUAAAAAAAAAGUCACUUUUAUAUUCUCCAUGACUCAAUUAAGUUACCUUCAAAAUGGGAAAGUCUGAUUUCUGAUUUUCUCUUACAUAAGCAUGCAUGGGUGCAUUUUUGUUUAGCUAAUUUAUGGUUAGAGAAAUAAUUUAAUUGCUUUGGUCCAUUUUCUGAGGGUACAACAGAGGAGACUCUCUUUGUAAUCUGCAAAUUACAAGUUGUUCUUACAUCACUUUGUAGGUUGUAUGAGGCUGAAAUGUGUGAUAUCUUAUACCCACCAGAAAGUAACAGGUUGUUGGGGAUGGAAGGUGGAGUGAGGAAGAUGCUGCUCUUUUAGUGCCUGAGAGCUUAACUGGUAUUGAACAGGGAGAUGGAAAGUAGAAGAUGGUGUUUGACUGAGUCAGCAUUUUACCAGAGAUGGUGUUUACUGUGCUUCUGCUUGCAUAAAGGGAGAGAUCAGCAGUUAGCCACAUUUGAAAGGCAAGGAUACAGGAAUAUAGCAUCUUUGUUAUGAUUUUACUGCAUUUAUUUCUUUCCUAAUUUUGAUUUCAUUUUGUUCUUGUUUUGGUUUUUCUUAUGUCUUCUGUAUACGUUGUGUUGCUGUUGGGAUGAUCACUUAGAUCACUGUCAUGUACCCCACUCAAAAACAGGAUCCUUUUCUUAGAAUUGACAAUGUUCCUGUUCUUCUCAUUGGAGGAAGUCUUGGCUCUCAUUGAAGUUCUUAGUUAGAGUACCUAAUAUGCAAGAUAUGAUCAAAUAUUACUUGAAUUGGAAUUUCCAGAACUCUGUUAGUGAUGAAUUACAGGGAUCACACCAUCUUUUUCCUUGUUUCCUUGUCCCGCAAUAACUAUGUACUUUUGCUUAUGGGUCAUGAAGGAUUAAGCAAUUAAAGACAAUAGGAGUCAUCAUCAUCACAAGUCACAGCAUAUAAUAAAUAAGAAAUAGAAAAUUAAAGGUGAAAAAUGAAAUCCAUUCACUUAUACCCCAAAUGAUACCGAAACAUGCCUCUGACUAGUUAUUCACAGACAAAUAAUAAACAUGUCUU
This is an RNA transcript of Vitis vinifera (wine grape), 3410 nucleotides long. RefSeq lists it as uncharacterized. The record is from RefSeq and is a predicted model, not a curated record. The transcript is spliced from 4 exons. Lineage: Eukaryota; Viridiplantae; Streptophyta; Magnoliopsida; Vitales; Vitaceae.